RNAcentral lists this ribosomal RNA (300 nucleotides) under Triticum aestivum (bread wheat). RNAcentral describes it as "partial small subunit ribosomal RNA". The record is from RNAcentral. Lineage: Eukaryota; Viridiplantae; Streptophyta; Magnoliopsida; Poales; Poaceae.
AUGGCGGAUGAUGAUGGACCUUGGUAUGCCGGAUUAAUCGAUGAAUGGGAUAAGGAGCAUCGUGCUCGUGCCAUUGAGAAUGGAAAUCAUGUAGUUGCUAUGCGCAUGAGGGGUCAUUCCGCUGAUGGCUUUACUUACGACCCGCGGUACGAGCCUUAUAUUCGGAGAUUGGGUAUUCUCCCAUUCGUGUUGCAGUUUAAGCGACGCGCUCCGCCGGUGAACCACGCGGCGUUGACCGCACUUGUGGAUCGUUGGAGGCCGGAGACUCACUCGUUCCACCUUCCAUGUGGGCAAUGCUGA